RNAcentral lists this ribosomal RNA (402 nucleotides) under uncultured Sphingomonas sp. RNAcentral describes it as "bacterial SSU rRNA". It matches the Rfam family "Bacterial small subunit ribosomal RNA", at positions 355 to 774 of the family's 1533-position model. The record is from RNAcentral. Lineage: Bacteria; Pseudomonadati; Pseudomonadota; Alphaproteobacteria; Sphingomonadales; Sphingomonadaceae.
UGGGGAAUAUUGGACAAUGGGCGAAAGCCUGAUCCAGCAAUGCCGCGUGAGUGAUGAAGGCCUUAGGGUUGUAAAGCUCUUUUACCCGGGAUGAUAAUGACAGUACCGGGAGAAUAAGCCCCGGCUAACUCCGUGCCAGCAGCCGCGGUAAUACGGAGGGGGCUAGCGUUGUUCGGAAUUACUGGGCGUAAAGCGCACGUAGGCGGCUUUGUAAGUUAGAGGUGAAAGCCCAGAGCUCAACUCUGGAAUUGCCUUUAAGACUGCAUCGCUAGAAUUGUGGAGAGGUAAGUGGAAUUCCGAGUGUAGAGGUGAAAUUCGUAGAUAUUCGGAAGAACACCAGUGGCGAAGGCGACUUACUGGACACAUAUUGACGCUGAGGUGCGAAAGCGUGGGGAGCAAACA